RNAcentral lists this long non-coding RNA (1959 nucleotides) under Theobroma cacao (cacao). RNAcentral's name for it is "long non-coding RNA (TCAC_LNC003755)". The record is from RNAcentral. Lineage: Eukaryota; Viridiplantae; Streptophyta; Magnoliopsida; Malvales; Malvaceae.
AAAGAGAGAAAAAGAGAAAAAAAGGAAAAACAAAAACCCUAGAGAGAAAAAUUCAAAGGGAUAUUGUUGAUUUUCAAGGAAUCAAGCCAUUAAAGGUAAAAUUUUUUAAUUCUAGCUUGUGAUCUACCUUUCUUAUGCACUAUUUUGCAUUUUCCAUGAUUGAAUCACAAGAAAUCAUGAAGGAUAAUGUGCUGAUCAAACCUUAGGAGAGAGAAUUUGAUGAUGAAUUUAGUUAGAAAACAUGUUAUUCUAGUGUUUUUAGUUGUUUGGUGAUGUGUAGUAUGAAAAGCAAGCAAGAAAAAUUCACGUUCUUACAUCACCUUCAUUGGCCGAAUAUUCCAUGUGGACUAUUGAUGAUGAAUUUGAUUGAAUUUCAAGUGAUUUGAUUAGGAAUGAAUGAUUUAUGGUGUGUGAAUCAAGCAUGAAAAAUUAUAUUGUUAGUGCACUCACCAUGACCGAAUUUUUCAAGAGAAAAUGUGAGGAUGAUUUUGCCACAUUUCAAAUUAUUUAAAUUGUGUUUAAUGAUUUGGAGUAUUGGCAGAGAAAUGGAAUUAUUUGGAGUUAAAUUGGACGUAUUGGCCAAUUAAUCGGGUGAUAGAUCAAAUUUGGCCAAUACCAUUUUAUUUAGUUACAUAAUUGAAUUUAUAUUGAACACCUUAUUUAGAUAGUUACCCGAGUAUUUCACAUCCCAUUUCAUGCAUUAGUAUAGAGUCUGAAUUGGUUUUACAAUGGUUUAGCACAAAUGUAGCAAAUUGCUUAUUGUGCAUUAUGUUUAGGUGGUGAGCAUUCUGGCAAGAGUAAAGAGGUAGUAUCCGAGAAUUAAGAAUUAGAGUAUCCUGAAUUCGAUUCCCAUUACAGUGAGUAACCUUAUUAUCGUCUUAAUUAUCUAAAGUAUGUUUUUAUCUGAUUUUGUAAUUUUAUGGAAAAUGUGUUUAAAUGAAAUGAUUUUAUAAAUUGUUUUGAAAUUUAAUGAUGACUUGAAAAUAGAGUAAUUGGAGACUACUUGCUGUAUUGUAAAUUAUGUUCUGAAUUGAAUGGCUUAUGAUAAUGUGGGCAUGAAUGGUUGGAUGGGUAUUUGUGUUGAAAAUGCAUAAACUGUUGUUUGCCUUGAUAGGGUAGAUAAUGAUAAAAUUACCAUGUCAUGCUGUUGAAUUUUAUUGAAUUGGUGGGUUAUAGAUUGGUCACUACAGUGGCUGGUUCUGUGGACCAGCCUUUUUGAGGGGCACGAAAUUUAGGUAUAUUCUUACCUCGGUUGAGGAGGCGCAUAGGGUAACUCUUGAGGAAAAACUUUAGAGUUCACUUCACGCCAAACCACCAUGUGAGGGUGAACUCAACCAACGCCAAGGAACGACUAUGUUUUCAAAAUAAAAACAUGAUUUAUGUGUACAUAACUUUUUAAUAGCCUUGACGAACUCGAUUGGGAUAGCCCCAGGCCAAGGUAUCCUUGACAACUGAGUAUGAGAAUGAUUUUGGCACAAGCCAAGCUUUUCAGGAAAUCAUAAGCCUCGUUGUUUAUUUGGGUGAAAUGAAUCUAUUUUAUCUUAUUAAAAUAAGUUCGAAAUGCUGUGAAUCAUUUUUAUGCUAAUCUAUUUUAUCUGUCUCCAUUUACUCAGCUUUAGAUAUUUUAGAUGAUAUUUGUUUACUCACUAGGAUUAUAUAAUCUCACCACCCUCCUUUUCACCCAUUUCAGGCUCAAGAUAGUCGGUAGAUUGCUCAUUUCAUUGAGGGCUACAGUUGGACUUGCAUCCUCAAAAACUGUAGAUUCACAACCUUCAUUACUUUUAGUCAUUCGGGGCCCCACAUGUCAUUGUUAAAUGUUUUGAAUACCUGGAUGCGUGUGCUACUGUAUGUAAGAAUUUAUUUUACUUUUACGCUGUAAAAUUUAUUUACGUAAAGUUCUAUAAAAAUUGUUUUAUGAAAAAUUAGAAUAUUUUAUUCAUUAUUUUUAUUUUAUUUCAU